CGCGUAGGCGGUCUUGUAAGUUGGAUGUGAAAUCCCUGGGCUUAACCUAGGAACUGCAUUCAAUACUGUAAGACUAGAAUAUUGUAGAGGGUAGUGGAAUUUCCGGUGUAGCGGUGAAAUGCGUAGAGAUCGGAAGGAACACCAGUGGCGAAGGCGGCUACCUGGACAAAUAUUGACGCUGAGGCGCGAAAGCGUGGGGAGCAAACAGGAUUAGAUACCCUGGUAGUCCACGCUGUAAACGAUGAGAACUAGAUGUUGGUAGGCUUGACCUAUUAGUAUCGAAGCUAACGCGAUAAGUUCUCCGCCUGGGGAGUACGGCCGCAAGGCUAAA
This 331-nucleotide ribosomal RNA is filed under the name uncultured Pseudomonadota bacterium. RNAcentral describes it as "bacterial SSU rRNA". It matches the Rfam family "Bacterial small subunit ribosomal RNA", at positions 568 to 898 of the family's 1533-position model. Lineage: Bacteria; Pseudomonadati; Pseudomonadota. The record is from RNAcentral.